CCUACGGGGGGCAGCAGUGAGGAAUAUUGGGCAAUGGAGGCAACUCUGACCCAGCCAUGCCGCGUGAGUGAAGAAGGUUUUCGGAUCGUAAAGCUCUGUCGGAUGUGACGAUGAUGACGGUAGCAUCUAAAGAAGCCCCGGCUAACUUCGUGCCAGCAGCCGCGGUAAUACGUAGGGGGCAAGCGGUGUUCGGAAUUGCUGGUCGUAAAGGGGGUGUAGGCGGUUUAGUAAGAUAGUGGUGAAAACCCAGAGCUUAAAUUUGGAAUUGCCAUUAAAACUAUUAGACUAGAAUUAAGGAGAGGAGAGUGGAAUACCCAGUGUAGAGGUGAAAUUCGUAGAUAUUGGGUAGAACACCAGUGGCGAAGGCGACUCUCUGGCUGUACAUUGACGCUGAGGCUCGAAAGCGUGGUGAGCAAACAGGAUUAGAUACCCCAGUAGUC
RNAcentral lists this ribosomal RNA (440 nucleotides) under uncultured bacterium. RNAcentral describes it as "partial 16S ribosomal RNA". It matches the Rfam family "Bacterial small subunit ribosomal RNA", at positions 338 to 795 of the family's 1533-position model. The record is from RNAcentral.